RNAcentral lists this ribosomal RNA (598 nucleotides) under bacterium Ri.S25B. Its description in RNAcentral is "partial 16S ribosomal RNA". It matches the Rfam family "Bacterial small subunit ribosomal RNA", at positions 61 to 643 of the family's 1533-position model. The record is from RNAcentral.
AUCAGNNGACGGAAGAUGGACUNCUCCUGAUGUUAGCGGCGGACGGGUGAGUAACACGUGGGUAACCUGCCUGUAAGACUGGGAUAACUCCGGGAAACCGGGGCUAAUACCGGAUGCUUGUUUGAACCGCAUGGUUCAAACAUAAAAGGUGGCUUCGGCUACCACUUACAGAUGGACCCGCGGCGCAUUAGCUAGUUGGUGAGGUAACGGCUCACCAAGGCAACGAUGCGUAGCCGACCUGAGAGGGUGAUCGGCCACACUGGGACUGAGACACGGCCCAGACUCCUACGGGAGGCAGCAGUAGGGAAUCUUCCGCAAUGGACGAAAGUCUGACGGAGCAACGCCGCGUGAGUGAUGAAGGUUUUCGGAUCGUAAAGCUCUGUUGUUAGGGAAGAACAAGUACCGUUCGAAUAGGGCGGUACCUUGACGGUACCUAACCAGAAAGCCACNGCUAACUACGUGCCANCAGCCGCGGUAAUACNUAGGUGGCAAGCGUUGUCCGGAAUUAUUGNGCGUAAAGGGCUCNCANGCNGUUUCUUAAGUCUGAUGUGAAAGCCCCCNNCUCANCCNGGGANGGUCAUUGNAAACUGGGGAACUU